GGUGAACGCUGGCGGCGUGCUUAACACAUGCAAGUCGAACGAAGCACUUUAUUUGAUUUCCUUCGGGACUGAUUAUUUUGUGACUGAGUGGCGGACGGGUGAGUAACGCGUGGGUAACCUGCCUUGUACAGGGGGAUAACAGUUGGAAACGGCUGCUAAUACCGCAUAAGCGCACAGCAUCGCAUGAUGCAGUGUGAAAACCUCCGGUGGUAUAAGAUGGACCCGCGUUGGAUUAGCUAGUUGGUGAGGUAACGGCCCACCAAGGCGACGAUCCAUAGCCGACCUGAGGGGGUGACCGGCCACAUUGGGACUGCGACACGGCCCAAACUCCUGCGGGAGGCAGCAGUGGGGAAUAUUGCACAAUGGGCGAAAGCCUGAUGCAGCGACGCCGCGUGAGCGAAGAAGUAUUUCGGUAUGUAAAGCUCUAUCAGCAGGGAAGAUAAUGACGGUACCUGACUAAGAAGCACCGGCUAAAUACGU
Molecule: ribosomal RNA, 480 nt
Filed under: uncultured bacterium
Lineage: Bacteria
Description: partial 16S ribosomal RNA
Rfam family: Bacterial small subunit ribosomal RNA
Source: RNAcentral